Molecule: long non-coding RNA, 259 nt
Filed under: Lathyrus oleraceus (garden pea)
Lineage: Eukaryota; Viridiplantae; Streptophyta; Magnoliopsida; Fabales; Fabaceae
Description: Pisum sativum (pea) long non-coding RNA (PSAT_LNC016272)
Source: RNAcentral
UGAUAUAGCUUGGACUCAUAAUGGUCUGGCAGGACGAGAUUUCAUAUGCAGUUGUGGGAGUCUUCCCAAUGUGCCUCUUAUAGGAGUUCAGGGUUGCAUCAAUUACAACCCGGUGCUUCUCAGGAGACAGAUGGGGUUUGCUGUGGAGGGUCCAGACGAGAUUUCAUAUGCAGUUGUGGGAGUCUUCCCAAUGUGCCUCUUAUAGGAGUUCAGGGUUGCAUCAAUUACAACCCGGUGCUUCUCAGGAGACAGAUGGGGU